GAGGAAUUUUCCGCAAUGGGCGCAAGCCUGACGGAGCGACGCCGCGUGAGGGAUGAAGGCUUUCGGGUUGUAAACCUCUUUUGCAGGGGAAAAAGGUGCAUGUGCUCAUACCAUAUGCAUUUGAUGGUACUUUGCGAAUAAGCCCCGGCUAACUACGUGCCAGCAGCCGCGGUAAUACGUAGGGGGCGAGCGUUGUCCGGAGUUACUGGGCGUAAAGGGCGUGUAGGCGGUUGGAUAAGUCUGGUGUGAAAUUCUCUGGCUUAACCAGGGAGCUGCGCUGGAAACUGUCUGACUGGAGUUCGGUAGGGGUCACUGGAAUCCCCGGUGUAACGGUGAAAUGUGUAGAUAUCGGGGGGAACACCUGUGGCGAAGGCGGGUGACUGGGCCGCAACUGACGCUGAGACGCGAAAGCGUGGGGAGCAAAC
RNAcentral lists this ribosomal RNA (425 nucleotides) under uncultured bacterium. RNAcentral describes it as "bacterial SSU rRNA". It matches the Rfam family "Bacterial small subunit ribosomal RNA", at positions 356 to 773 of the family's 1533-position model. The record is from RNAcentral.